RNAcentral lists this ribosomal RNA (441 nucleotides) under uncultured bacterium. RNAcentral describes it as "partial 16S ribosomal RNA". It matches the Rfam family "Bacterial small subunit ribosomal RNA", at positions 338 to 795 of the family's 1533-position model. The record is from RNAcentral.
CCUACGGGAGGCAGCAGUGGGGGAUAUUGCACAAUGGGGGGAACCCUGAUGCAGCGACGCCGCGUGGGUGAAGGAGUGCUUCGGCAUGUAAAGCCCUAUCGGCAGGGAAGAAGCAAGACGUUACCUGACUAAGAAGCCCCGGCUAACUACGUGCCAGCAGCCGCGGUAAUACGUAGGGGGCGAGCGUUAUCCGGAUUCACUGGGUGUAAAGGGAGCGUAGACGGCCAUGCAAGCCAGGGGUGAAAGCCCGGGGCCCAACCCCGGGACUGCCCUUGGAACUGUGCGGCUAGAGUGCGGGAGGGGCAGGCGGAAUUCCUGGUGUAGCGGUGAAAUGCGUAGAUAUCAGGAGGAACACCGGCGGCGAAGGCGGCCUGCUGGACUGCGACUGACGUUGAGGCGCGAAAGCGUGGGGAGCGAACAGGAUUAGAUACCCGAGUAGUC